UACGUAGGGUGCAAGCGUUGUCCGGAAUUAUUGGGCGUAAAGAGCUCGUAGGCGGUCUGUCGCGUCUGCUGUGAAAACUCAGGGCUUAACCCUGAGCUUGCAGUGGGUACGGGCAGACUAGAGUGCGGUAGGGGAGACUGGAAUUCCUGGUGUAGCGGUGAAAUGCGCAGAUAUCAGGGAGGAACACCGGUGGCGAAGGCGGGUCUCUGGGCCGUAACUGACGCUGGAGGGAGCGAAAGCGUUGGGGAGCGAACAGG
This 257-nucleotide ribosomal RNA is filed under the name uncultured bacterium. Its description in RNAcentral is "partial 16S ribosomal RNA". It matches the Rfam family "Bacterial small subunit ribosomal RNA", at positions 524 to 776 of the family's 1533-position model. The record is from RNAcentral.